This 253-nucleotide ribosomal RNA is filed under the name uncultured bacterium. Its description in RNAcentral is "partial 16S ribosomal RNA". It matches the Rfam family "Bacterial small subunit ribosomal RNA", at positions 524 to 776 of the family's 1533-position model. The record is from RNAcentral.
UACGAAGGGGGCUAGCGUUGCUCGGAAUCACUGGGCGUAAAGCGCACGUAGGCGGAUUGCUAAGUCAGGGGUGAAAUCCUGGAGCUCAACUCCAGAACUGCCUUUGAUACUGGCGAUCUCGAGUCCGGGAGAGGUGAGUGGAACUGCGAGUGUAGAGGUGAAAUGCGCAGAUAUCAGGAAGAACACCAAUGGCGAAGGCAGCUCUCUGGGACGGUACUGACGCUGAGACGCGAAAGCGUGGGGAGCGAACAGG